Molecule: ribosomal RNA, 489 nt
Filed under: uncultured bacterium
Lineage: Bacteria
Description: partial 16S ribosomal RNA
Rfam family: Bacterial small subunit ribosomal RNA
Source: RNAcentral
AUCGAACGCUGGCGGCAGGCCUAACACAUGCAAGUCGAACGGUAACAGGAAGAAUCUUUCUUCUUUGCUGAUGAGUGGCGGACGGGUGAGUAAUGUCUGGGAAACUGCCUGAUGGAGGGUGAUAACUACUGGAAACGGUAGCUAACACCUCAUAACGUCUCAUGCAUAAAAAGGGGGACAUUGGUGCCUCUUGCCAUCGGAUAUGCGCAGAUGCGAUGAGCUAGUAGGUGGGGUAACGGCUCACCUAGGCGACGAUCCCUAGCUGGUCUGAGAGGAUGACCAGCCACACUGGAACUGAGACGCGGUCCAGACUCCUAGGGGAGGCAGGAGUGGGAAAUAUUGCAAAAUGGGGGAAAGCCUGAUGGAGCCAUGGCGCGUGUAUGAAGAAGGCCUGCGUGGUGUAAAGUACUUUCAGCGGGGAGAAAGGGAGUAAAGUUAAUACCUCUGCUCAUGGAGGUAACCCGCAGAAGAAGCACGGGCAAACACCGG